AAUAGAAAAAGAGAAGAAGGAAGACAAAAAAGAAGAAUAAGAGGAAGAGAAAGAGGAGAUCGUGGAAGUAGUGGUACGACGACGAUUACUACGAUGAUGGUUAAAAUUAAAGGAGAAGGAAGAAGAAAAGGAAGAAAAAAAUGAAGACAAAGAGAAAGAUGAGAAAGGGGAAUUGGAAACGACAUUAAUGAUAGAGACACGAUGAUAAAAUGAGGAAGAAAAAAAAAAGAAGAGAAAAUGAGGAGAAAAAGUAUUUGUUAAUGAUAUUUACAAAGAUCCAUAAUCCAUCAAUAUCUACAAAAAAAUAUUUAUUGACAUAUUUAAAAUAGUUGGUAAUUAUCAACAGAUUUAUGAUUCGUCAAUAAAAUUGAUGAACAUUUUAUCAAUUUAAU
This 392-nucleotide long non-coding RNA is filed under the name Vigna radiata. RNAcentral's name for it is "long non-coding RNA (VRAD_LNC010316)". Lineage: Eukaryota; Viridiplantae; Streptophyta; Magnoliopsida; Fabales; Fabaceae. The record is from RNAcentral.